Non-coding RNA from Struthio camelus australis, 358 nucleotides. The record is from RefSeq and is a predicted model, not a curated record. Lineage: Eukaryota; Metazoa; Chordata; Aves; Struthioniformes; Struthionidae.
AGCUUAUGCCAAGACACGUGGAAAGAAAGAUGAAAUGGAAGGUGUAACUGAAGGUCCAUCUGAUCAUCCAACUGAACUGAGCAAGGACCUGUUGGAAAUAAAUCCUUUACGUGGGAAAAGCUUCUGGAAGCCUGCACUGCCAACCUCCUGGAAAAUGAAGAGAGCUUGUUUUUGGAAAUACUGCAUUGAGCGCAAGUAGUGUUUAACCUUCAAGUCGACUGGCCAUUUUGAUCCCCAAGAUAUUUGAAGCUGACAAAGAAAUCUUCAAACCUUGAAGACUUUUCUACACAAGUGAUUGAAGAACAAUUAAUAGAGUAACUAUCUGACCAUAUUUGCCUUGCGUAUAAUAGGUAUUUAA